CCCUUCCUUUCCGCCUUAUCCGCAGGCGGGCACGCGCAAGGAAGCGCGCCUGCCGGGGUGUGACGAAGCGGAGGCGGGACUUGGCGCGCGUUGCCUCAGUGCGACUGCGCACAACCUAAUCCGCGGGGGAAGGGAAUUGCGCUUGCGCGCCUGUCUCCCGGGACCCUAAAGUAGGCGAGCCUCUGGCUGCUCCGGUAGGUUUGGCGUGCGCGGGUUUCUGCAGAUCUGGGGCGAGCUUGCACGUUACAUCACCUAUGCACCUCUCCUUGCUUGCUUAAGUUGCCACCACUUAGGCCUUUCUUGCAGAAAUCGCCAUAUACUCUUUAAGGGCCGCGGAAUCGGGGCGACCUUGGUGACUGAUUGGCAAACUCUCGGCAGAUGUGCGUGCACUGGUUGGAUGCAGGCGUGGUUGUAGGAGAUUUAAUUUUUCCAGCUUUGCAACGACUGUUGGCCCUGUUAGCUUCCCAGAACGGAUCUCCCUAGUCUCGACUGGAAGCUGAGGGACAAAAUCUCAGAAAAGCAAUUACUCUUUCCUCACCAGGCUUCUAAAAAAGCAAGAAUAGCGAUAUGAUUACACCUAUAGUCCUAUAGAAAUUGAUCUGCCUUUCCCUCACAAUCGUGGCCUGUUAACGCUCCUGUGUAGUUCAGUGCCAGAAUGAGUGACCGCUAUUUAGAACAAAGGAUUAGUAUCAAAUUUUGCGUGAAACUGAAUAAGUCUGCAAGUGAGACCCACCAUCUUUUAAAAGAAGCUUAUGGGGAUGAAGUCAUGUCAAGGGCCAGAGUUUUUGACUGGCACAAAAGGUUUAAAGAAGGACGGGAAGAUGUUCGAGAUGACGCCCGAAGUGGGCGUCCAGUCACCCACAGGACAGAUGAAAAUAUCCAGAAGGUCAAGGACUUGGUUUGUUCAAACAGGCAGUUAACUGUGAGGAUGAUGGCUGAAGAGUUAAAUUUAGACAAAGAAACUGUUAGGCUCAUUUUGAAAGAAAACUUGAACAUGAAGAAGAUUUCUGCAAAAGUUAUUUCGGGUGUUUUGAAGGGUGAGCCUACACCACGAAAACUUGACUUUCAGUCGGAUCUUUCAAAGGAAACUAGGAAAAAUAGCUUAUGUUUGAGGAAAAAGGUAACAGAUUCUGAAACAUGGAGUCAUCUCCAGGGUGAAGCUGGUGGGGAAAUGCCCCUGCCCGUAUCCCAUCCCAGAGUCCACUACCCUGCCAGCCAGCUUCUUCAGGCCUCAUCUUCAACAAGCCUUCCCCCCAGGGUAGCUGAGAAUUGGUUCACCCCAUGGUGAGAGGAACGUGAGUUAGCUGAACCAGAACUAGGAAGCUGCCUUACUGUUAGGCACCUUCUUUGGCUGCUCACCUAUUUUCAGUCUUUGCCACUCCUCCCUAUAUGUCAUGGCCCUCCCCAUUACUCUUUGCUGGACUGUUGGACCAUCUUCCUUGCUCUUCUCCACAACUUUGAAGAACUUCUGGCUGUUGCCUUCUGGAUCAUGCCAGUGAGAAGUGAGGAACAGGAUCUCCUGGAAUCUGUAUCUCUGUGCCCAGGGAGGCAUGCUGUUCUGGGAGGACCCCAAAAGAAGGCUUAUAGCUUCAUCCUGCUUCGCAGUCAGGGCCUGAGGUAUGGUACAGAAGGCAGUGGGAUGCUGGUACUACUGAGCAGUGCUGGCCCAAGGGGCUGAUCUGGCCCAGAUGACUCAGUGGGAGCGCCUUAGGAAUCAGGGGUUGGCCACCAAUACUGAUCUUCUCACAGGCCUACACCUCACAGAAGAGCUGGGUUUGCUUCAUUCUAGUCCUGUGCUUUGGACCCCCAUUCAUUUGGAUAUCUCCUCUGCUGGAAGAGGAGGAUCUGGUCCUAGAAAAUAUAAACCUGGGGACCCAGGCCUAAGCUGUGAUGUGUGGGGAGGAAGACCAGGUGAUUCUAUAGACCCUGGAUUAAGGGAGCCUGCUGCCUGUGUGUGGAUUCCCAUACAGCAGCCUGUUUUUAGUAACUAUUGCCUAUAGUUUUGAGAACUUGUUGUUUUUAGAACACUGCUGGACAUUGACAAUGUGGAAGUUAUAAACAAGAUCUCCAAGGGCUGAUGGGCUUCUCAUGGAUGAGAUGGUUCUCGAACUGGAUCCAUGAGGAUGGGUAUGACAGGGGACUGUGAAAUUAGAGAAAGCAGGUGGAACAGCAUGAGGCAUCGAACCUCCAUCAGUAGAAAAUG
This is an RNA transcript of Cebus imitator (Panamanian white-faced capuchin), 2203 nucleotides long. It is a transcript of the gene named GVQW motif containing 3, with no coding region annotated. Lineage: Eukaryota; Metazoa; Chordata; Mammalia; Primates; Cebidae. The transcript has 2 exons. The record is from RefSeq and is a predicted model, not a curated record.